UACAGAGGUCCCGAGCGUUGUUCGGAUUCAUUGGGCGUAAAGGGUGCGUAGGUGGCGCUGUAAGUGGGGUGUGAAAUCCCGGGGCUUAACUCCGGAACUGCAUUCCAUACUGCGAUGCUUGAGGACUGGAGAGGAGACUGGAAUUUACGGUGUAGCAGUGAAAUGCGUAGAGAUCGUAAGGAAGACCAGUGGCGAAGGCGGGGCUCUGGACAGUUCCUGACACUGAGGCACGAAGGCCAGGGGAGCAAACGGG
This 253-nucleotide ribosomal RNA is filed under the name uncultured bacterium. RNAcentral's name for it is "partial 16S ribosomal RNA". It matches the Rfam family "Bacterial small subunit ribosomal RNA", at positions 524 to 776 of the family's 1533-position model. The record is from RNAcentral.